RNAcentral lists this ribosomal RNA (275 nucleotides) under uncultured prokaryote. RNAcentral describes it as "partial 16S ribosomal RNA". It matches the Rfam family "Bacterial small subunit ribosomal RNA", at positions 524 to 798 of the family's 1533-position model. The record is from RNAcentral.
UUCAGAGGUCUCGAGCGUUGUUCGGAUUUACUGGGCGUAAAGGGAGCGUAGGCGGCCGGGUGUGUCGAAUGUGAAAGCCCACAACUCAACUGUGGAAUGGCAUUCGAAACUACCUGGCUAGAGUACUGGAGAGGAGAGCGGAAUUCUUGGUGUAGCGGUGAAAUGCGUAGAUAUCGGGAGGAACACCGGUGGCGAAGGCGGCUUUCUGGCCAGUUACUGACGCUCAUGCGCGAAAGCUGGGGUAGCGAACCGGAUUAGAUACCCCGGUAGUCCCU